Molecule: ribosomal RNA, 482 nt
Filed under: uncultured bacterium
Lineage: Bacteria
Description: bacterial SSU rRNA
Rfam family: Bacterial small subunit ribosomal RNA
Source: RNAcentral
UUGAACGCUGGCGGCAUGCCUUACACAUGCAAGUCGAACGGCAUCACGGGAGCAAUCCUGGUGGCGAGUGGCGAACGGGUGAGUAAUGUAUCGGAACGUACCUUUCAGUGGGGGAUAACGUAGCGAAAGUUACGCUAAUACCGCAUAUUCUGUGAGCAGGAAAGCAGGGGAUCGCAAGACCUUGCGCUGAUUGAGCGGCCGAUAUCAGAUUAGCUAGUUGGUGAGGUAAAGGCUCACCAAGGCGACGAUCUGUAGCGGGUCUGAGAGGAUGAUCCGCCACACUGGAACUGAGACACGGUCCAGACUCCUACGGGAGGCAGCAGUGGGGAAUUUUGGACAAUGGGGGCAACCCUGAUCCAGCAAUGCCGCGUGAGUGAAGAAGGCCUUCGGGUUGUAAAGCUCUUUUGUCAGGGAAGAAACGGUGAGUUCUAAUACAGCUUGCUAAUGACGGUACCUGAAGAAUAAGCACCGGCUAACUACGU